GACGAACGCUGGCGGCGUGCUUAUCACAUGCAAGUCGAACGGAAAGGCCUGCUUUCCCUUGUGGAUUGCGGGUACUCGAGUGGCGAACGGGUGAGUAACACGUGAGUGAUCUGCCCCCAACUUGGGUAUAAGCCUGGGAAACUGGGUCUAAUUCCCGAUAGGACUGCAGGGUGGUGCCUGUGGUGGAAAACGAUUUUCUAGUGGUUGGGGAUGAGCUCGCGGCCUAUCAGCUUGUUGGUGGGGUAAUGGCCUACCAAGGCGGCGACGGGUAGCCGGCCUGAGAGGGUGGACGGCCACAUUGGGACUGAGAUACGGCCCAGACUCCUACGGGAGGCAGCAGUGGGGAAUAUUGCACAAUGGGCGGAAGCCUGAUGCAGCGACGCCGCGUGGGGGAUGACGGCCUUCGGGUUGUAAACUCCUUUCGACCGCGAGGAAGCCACCUGGUUGGAAGGGUGGUGACGGUAGUGGUAGAAGAAGCACCGGCUAACUGCGUG
RNAcentral lists this ribosomal RNA (494 nucleotides) under uncultured bacterium. RNAcentral's name for it is "partial 16S ribosomal RNA". It matches the Rfam family "Bacterial small subunit ribosomal RNA", at positions 28 to 507 of the family's 1533-position model. The record is from RNAcentral.